This is a long non-coding RNA of Erinaceus europaeus (western European hedgehog), 280 nucleotides long. RefSeq lists it as uncharacterized. The record is from RefSeq and is a predicted model, not a curated record. The transcript has 3 exons. Lineage: Eukaryota; Metazoa; Chordata; Mammalia; Eulipotyphla; Erinaceidae.
CUCAGAACCUAGUGGGACUCAAGAUAGGGCUUUCCCACCCAGGUUAUAUCUACAUGGACGCAGGUCCCAAAUACAGAAUAAAAGGGCCAGAGUCCACAGAGCUCACACAUAGUCUUCUCCUGAGGUGUGAAAACCAGUGCUGCUCAUACCUGAUCCUGAGAGACAAUCCAAGAAAAUGUCUUCUGAAACAGAAAAUGUUGCUGCAUUCUCUACAUUUCAACAAUCCACAGCACAUCCUGCACAAUGUCCUCCACCAUGUCCUCCAACAUACCAGUGCUGG